RNAcentral lists this long non-coding RNA (770 nucleotides) under Oncorhynchus kisutch (coho salmon). RNAcentral's name for it is "lncRNA (ENSOKIG00005025403.1)". The record is from RNAcentral. Lineage: Eukaryota; Metazoa; Chordata; Actinopteri; Salmoniformes; Salmonidae.
AUGUUUCUUAGACUGCAGGGUGGGAGAUGUAACAAUGGCCUUGAGAACAGCAGGAAGUGUGUUGGUGGUCUUUCUCUGGUCUGUAGCAGUGGUACUGGGUCAGGAUGGCUGGAGUGUGACAUACACCACUCAGAGUAUCUGUACCUUGAAGGGGUCAUCAGUGGAUCUGUUCUGUUCAUAACAGAUCAGACUGGAGGGAAUUAUGCUGGUGAUCCUGGAGUUACUCUGUCUGUUACAGGUACAGUGAUAUUAUAUAUGGUGUGGAUCUGUUUAAUCACUGUCUGUUACAGGUACAGUGAUAUUAUAUAUGGUGUGGAUCUGUUUAAUCACUGUCUGUUACAGGUACAGUGAUAUUAUAUAUGGUGUGGAUCUGUUUAAUUGGUUCUGUCUUGAUUUGUAUUGAAAUAAUAUGAAUGUGAAAGUAUGCGUCUGAAUUGAUGAUUUGAGAACGUCCACUCUGCCUCAUUUGAACUAGACAACAGGUAAUUGAGGGCUUUAAUGUUGUUAUCUACUCCAGACCUGCAGGUGAAGGUGACCACUACAUGGUGGUCAAUGACACUGACCUGUAGCACCACCUGUACUCUGACUGGUAACCCCACCUACACCUGGUACAGGAACAGUAAGAUUGUACAAGAGGACUCCUCCCCCUCGUACACAUUCUACUUUAAAACUGAAGACAGCUUCUACUGUGCUGUAAAAGGCAUCAAUUCUCCUGCAGUGUGUGAGUGUGACUAAUACACUUUUUAAAGUCUUUCAAAAUCAUCCAAUCA